UGUUUACAGAGCCUGGAGAAAGUUCUUGUGGAAUUCAGUCAUGAGGAGUUGUUUGAUUUCUACAAAAAGCUAGAGACCAUACAAGCACAGCUGGAUUCCCUUACUUGAUGUUUUUGAAGACUGUUUUUUCCAUCAUACUCCUAUCACCUCAUUAUUUUGCAUUGAAGAUAGAUUUCCAGGUUGUGUUUUCUAAAGGAUUCGGUGGCUUUCUUUCUGUAAAUUAUAUGACUUAUCAUUUCUUAGCCAAGGGAGAUCAUUGUUAAGAGUACUGAGGUUCUAAUAUACUUUCUCUAAUUCUGUGAGCCAACAGGAAUUGUUAAGAACACUUUCGCUUUAAAGGAAACAAAAGUGAAUACCAUAUUGUUUUCACUGUCCUAUUGUUGCUUUAGUGCUUGGCCUGCUAUUUUUUACAUGCUUAAUGAUAACUUUAUGUAACAAGGAGUGUCCAUGGAUACAAGAUAUAAUGUGUACCCUACUAGAAUACAGAGCUUCAGUAAUUACAUUAAUAAAAUUGAGAAAAUAGCUACAUGCAAUCAAAUAUAUUAUGGCAUUUUUCUUUGAACAUGAUGAAUAUAUUUUGCUUGGGAAAUAAUAUAGGAAAUAAAUUUAAAAUAGAGCCAGUACUAUACUAUCAAUUAAUUCCAGUGUGAGCUUCUCUGUUAACCUUAAUUUUUUUCUCUGAGUUUAAUGAUUUAAUAAUAGUCCUGGUUCUUAUGUGUUUUUCUUUGUACUGCAAAUUAAUAAUGAUUCACUUCAUAGUAGAUUCAGCUCAUGAAUAAAAAUAAUUAUGAUGAGUGUUAAAUGGGCAUCUUUAUUCAAGUUAGAUACCUUUUACAUUCUCUUUCUAUAAAUAUGUUAAUUGAUUCACUCAAUAAAACUUUGUGUCUUUACAAUUAAUUCAACUGAAGUGUAUAGUAUUUUUAUUUUAUGUAUUUUAUAGUAUAUUCUAUGCUAUGAAUGUAUGUACAUGAGUGUAAUUGCCUGUAAAAAAUUAAUUGAAUUUUUUAUGAAUGAAAUAUCUAUUUUACAUUGCUUCCAGAAGGAGAGAUAGGAAGAGAGAUUCAAACAUGACUUAAUUCACCUGACAAUAUUUGAACUAUAGGUAACCAAGCAAAACUAUUGAAAUUGAAACACUUUUCUCAUUUGAGGGAUCUGGGUAAUACAAGUGUUAAAUAAAUGUUAAAUAUACAGAAUUUAUGCCCAUGUUUGUUUAUAUGCAUACUUAUAGGGUAUCGCUUAGAAUAAAUGAGAGCUUGGAUUAUUUCAGAAACCAACUAUUAUAGUUGUCCAUAGUUGAUUGAUUUUAAGUUUUUAAACUCAAAUUUCCAUUGGUAGGAUAUCUGGAAAGCAUUUUAUAAUGUAAUCGGAUUUGUUUCUACAUGUGGCUUGGAGGCUUUCUCUUUUUUAUGCUCUGUUUUUCUGAUUUCCAGAGGUAACUACCUGAGGUCCCAGAGUUACUAUAAACAUUUUGGUAAACAUUA
Long non-coding RNA from Carlito syrichta (Philippine tarsier), 1481 nucleotides. RefSeq lists it as uncharacterized. The transcript is spliced from 2 exons. The record is from RefSeq and is a predicted model, not a curated record. NCBI's taxonomy places the organism in Eukaryota, Metazoa, Chordata, Mammalia, Primates, Tarsiidae.